This 325-nucleotide long non-coding RNA is filed under the name Rattus norvegicus (Norway rat). Its description in RNAcentral is "long non-coding RNA NONRATT029699". The record is from RNAcentral. Lineage: Eukaryota; Metazoa; Chordata; Mammalia; Rodentia; Muridae.
GAAAGAUCUCCCAUGCUCAUGGAUUGGCAGGAUUAAUUUAGUAAAAAUGGCCAUUUUACCAAAAGCGAUUUACAGAUUCAAUGCAAUCCCCAUCAAAAUACCAAUCCAAUUCUUCAAAGAGUUAGACAGAACAAUUUGCAAAUUCAUCUGGAAUAACAAAAAACCCAGGAUAGCUAAAGCUAUCCUCAACAAUAAAAGGACUUCAGGGGGAAUCACUAUCCCUGAACUCAAGCAGUAUUACAGAGCAAUAGUGAUAAAAACUGCAUGGUAUUGGUACAGAGACAGACAGAUAGACCAAUGGAAUAGAAUUGAAGACCCAGAAAUG